Molecule: ribosomal RNA, 301 nt
Filed under: uncultured bacterium
Lineage: Bacteria
Description: partial 16S ribosomal RNA
Rfam family: Bacterial small subunit ribosomal RNA
Source: RNAcentral
CAGUCGCCACGGGAAUACGGAGGGUGCAAGCGUUAAUCGGAAUUACUGGGCGUAAAGCGCACGCAGGCGGUCUGUCAAGUCGGAUGUGAAAUCCCCGGGCUCAACCUGGGAACUGCAUUCGAAACUGGCAGGCUAGAGUCUUGUAGAGGGGGGUAGAAUUCCAGGUGUAGCGGUGAAAUGCGUAGAGAUCUGGAGGAAUACCGGUGGCGAAGGCGGCCCCCUGGACAAAGACUGACGCUCAGGUGCGAAAGCGUGGGGAGCAAACAGGAUUAGAUACCCGCGUAGUCCCUGUCUCUUAUAC